CAUUCCAUGACAACUGGUAAAUUAGCAUCAUCCCUCCAUCCAAAGGGAAUUAAAAACCACGAAGAUACAUUAUUCUGGGACAGUAAGACAGUUAACAGGAAGGCAAUAUGAUUUAGGAGCCAAAAAUAUAAACAAUGCUUUUCACACUACAGGUUUUCAAUGUAUUCAUAGUCUUAAACUUAAUAAUAAUGAGAUUAUUAUUUAUUGGAAGAAUUUAGUUGUAUUAGUUGAGAGAGCUAAAGGAAAAGGAACACUCCUAGUAAGGGAAAGGUUUCGUCUAUUCCCGAAUUUUACAAUCCUUGAUUUUUAAGUCAUCUAGUGUUCCAGAAUUGUUUUCAUUUUACAUUUAGCUUAGUUGAAGCAGGAAGCAUUGCAUGAGUUUCCUUCAACCACUGACAAAGCAGAAACUUGCAAACAACCUGGUUCUCCUGAGGCCCAGACUUUAGAAGGCUCCACCAUGCUACUUAUGCUUUAAAACAAAAAUUUCCCCCACUUUGUGUUUUAUACAGAUCUCAGUGCUAGAAGACAGGUUCACGUUUUUGUAGAGGAUGUUGAGUUUCGUAUGACCAGGGUUUAUAGUUGCAGACAACUGAAGCUUACGUUGUAUGAUUUAUUCUCACAGAAUUUCUGGUAAUGAUGCAGAAGUAGGCUUGGAAACCAAGCAGAAGACAGGAAGGUAUUUAGCAGCCUGGAAGAUGCCUGAUAAACCCAGUCUGAUGAGGGCUCUCCUACCUUCACCACUCAACACUCUGCUGCUACCAGAAACUGGAUGCCAUUGGAUAAGGGUUGUCAGACAAAAUACAAGGACACAAUUGGAGAAACCGGUUAUUUUACCAAAGCUUUGGAAUGGUGUACUUUCCCUUAAGGAAUCAAAUAUGACUUAUGGAAACAAUAAAAGUCCCUUGGGAAAACUGGCCUCA
Molecule: long non-coding RNA, 920 nt
Organism: Homo sapiens (human)
Lineage: Eukaryota; Metazoa; Chordata; Mammalia; Primates; Hominidae
Exons: 2
Source: RefSeq, a predicted model, not a curated record